This 345-nucleotide long non-coding RNA is filed under the name Androctonus crassicauda. Lineage: Eukaryota; Metazoa; Arthropoda; Arachnida; Scorpiones; Buthidae. The record is from RNAcentral.
AUUUUUUGUUUUCCAAAUCAUUUUAUCUAUUUAAUUUUGAUUAAACAAAUGUCAAUUAUGUAUUUGUGUUAACAAUUUGUAUGGUGAUCAUUCAAUUAGGGUGGCCCAGGGAGACUUCCGAACAUGUCCUCGAUAGUUGUUAGUCCGCCACUAGAUAAACAUGAUAUGCAAAUGUUAAUGAAAUUUAUGAAAGGAGAUUUGUCAUCUGAAAUGGUAAACUACAAUUUUCCUCAGUUCGACUCUCGAGAGAUAGGCUUGUUUCACAUUAAAGCUAAAGAACAAAGAAAAAUACAGUUGAACCUCGAUAACUCGAAUCAUCAAGGAUGUUAAAAUAAUUUCGACAGA